GAGGGUAUAGCUCAGUGGUAGAGUACAUGCCUAGCGUGCAUGAGGUCCUGGGUUCAAUCCCUGGUACCUCCA
This 72-nucleotide transfer RNA is filed under the name Camelus bactrianus (Bactrian camel). It matches the Rfam family "tRNA". Rfam says of the family: Transfer RNA (tRNA) molecules are approximately 80 nucleotides in length. RNAcentral also lists the same sequence under 2 other names. Lineage: Eukaryota; Metazoa; Chordata; Mammalia; Artiodactyla; Camelidae. The record is from Rfam by way of RNAcentral.